RNAcentral lists this ribosomal RNA (292 nucleotides) under uncultured bacterium. RNAcentral's name for it is "partial 16S ribosomal RNA". The record is from RNAcentral.
GGACUACUGGGGUAUCUAAUCCUGUUUGCUCCCCACGCUGUCGCGCCUCAGCGUCAGUUGUGGCCCAGCCAACCGCCUUCGCCACCGGUGUUCUUCCGGAUCUCUACGCAUUCCACCGCUACACCCGGAAUUCCAUUGGCCUCUACCACACUCGAGCACGAGAGUAUCGCUGGCCGACCCGAAGUUGAGCCUCGGGCUUUCACCAGCGACUGCUCGCGCCGCCUACGCGCCCUUUACGCCCAGUGAUUCCGGACAACGCUCGCACCCUCCGUAUUACCGCGGCUGCUGGCAC